RNAcentral lists this transfer RNA (72 nucleotides) under Desmophyllum pertusum. RNAcentral describes it as "tRNA-Arg". Lineage: Eukaryota; Metazoa; Cnidaria; Anthozoa; Scleractinia; Caryophylliidae. The record is from RNAcentral.
GACGCUGUGGCCUGAUGGUAGCGCGUUGGACUUCGGAUCGAGCGGUCUGGGUUCGAGCGCUGGUCGGGGUCA